AACGAACGCUGGCGGCAGGCCUAACACAUGCAAGUCGAACGAACCUUUAUGGUGAGUGGCGCACGGGUGCGUGACGCGUGGGGAUCUGCCCUUUGCUUCGGAAUAACAGUUAGAAAUGACUGCUAAUACCGGAUGAUGUCGUAAGACCAAAGAUUUAUCGGCAAAGGAUGAACCCGCGUAGGAUUAGCUAGUUGGUGGGGUAAAGGCCUACCAAGGCGACGAUCCUUAGCUGGUCUGAGAGGAUGAUCAGCCACACUGGGACUGAGACACGGCCCAGACUCCUACGGGAGGCAGCAGUGGGGAAUAUUGGACAAUGGGCGAAAGCCUGAUCCAGCAAUGCCGCGUGAGUGAUGAAGGCCUUAGGGUUGUAAAGCUCUUUUACCCGGGAUGAUAAUGACAGUACCGGGAGAAUAAGCUCCGGCUAACUCCGUGCCAGCCGCCGCCGUAA
Molecule: ribosomal RNA, 448 nt
Filed under: uncultured bacterium
Lineage: Bacteria
Description: partial 16S ribosomal RNA
Rfam family: Bacterial small subunit ribosomal RNA
Source: RNAcentral